AAAUUGAAGAGUUUGAUCAUGGCUCAGAUUGAACGCUGGCGGCAGGCCUAACACAUGCAAGUCGAACGGUAGCACAGAGAGCUUGCUCUCGGGUGACGAGUGGCGGACGGGUGAGUAAUGUCUGGGAAACUGCCUGAUGGAGGGGGAUAACUACUGGAAACGGUGGCUAAUACCGCAUAACGU
RNAcentral lists this ribosomal RNA (183 nucleotides) under Salmonella enterica. Its description in RNAcentral is "partial 16S ribosomal RNA". It matches the Rfam family "Bacterial small subunit ribosomal RNA", at positions 1 to 179 of the family's 1533-position model. The record is from RNAcentral. RNAcentral also lists the same sequence under 2 other names. Lineage: Bacteria; Pseudomonadati; Pseudomonadota; Gammaproteobacteria; Enterobacterales; Enterobacteriaceae.